UUAGCUCGGGAAUGAUACUGCAAGUUUUAAUACAUCAGGAAACAGAAGCGAUGGUGGAUUGAGUUCAUAGAAUCAUAGAAUCAACUAGAUUGGAAGGGACCUUAAAGAUCAUCUAGUCUAACCAUCAACCUAACUCUGAAAAAAAAAUAAAUAAGAAAUAAAAAUCACUAAACCAUAUUCACUAUAGUUGUCACUAUUAUUUAUGUUUAAAAUAUUGAAACUGUUUUCUUAGUGAGUUCAUAUAUUGAACUCAUCAAGACAUGUCAUACUGUAAAAAAAUUACAGAGCAUGAGCCGGAGAUUCUCUACUUACUCGCUAACUCUGAAUGUGUGUUUAGAUUAGUUAUCUAAUGCUAGAUAACCAAAGUAUCUGAAAUUGAGCUGGUCAUAAGAUGUGUUGAACUCCCUUUUCAGUCACUAUAAUCCCUUUGCUAAUCAUUCAAGAUGUAGGCGUUCAGCUCCAAAAACUGUGGUCUCAGUGUCUUAGCUUUUAAAACUGUAACGUGAUAGAAAUCUUUUUCCAGGUGAUUCAAAGCACAAGGUGUCCUUCCUAAGUAUUCAGGUGCAUUCAGAGGAAAGCUGCUGAAGAAAUAACAAGUAUUGUUAUCUGUUUGUACCAAAGAACAGAAAUCAGAGUUUUGUGGAAUUUUUUCUUUUAAGGCGAAAAAGGUUAGUCAGACUAAUGAGAAACUUCAUGCUUUCAAGUCUGCACGGAAAAAAAGAAUCACUGAUUGGUGUUACCUCUAUCAAACUUAAUCACCUACUUUCUACAUAGAGGACAUUGCAUGUGGAAGAAAUGACUGAAGGUUAUCUAGUGAUAGAAGAAAAUUAAUUCAUUGGGAAACUGAGGAAGGGACUGGAGAAUUAUUGAAAGUAAAAUCUUGAAAGAUUUUUUUCAUCACUUUCCUCAGAAAUGGAUAUGUGACCUCAGUUAAAACUUUUCAUAAAUUUUUAAUCUAAAAGAAGACAUCCAUCUUGAAUACUAAAAUGUAGCAAAGAUAAACACCUGAAAUCAAAGUUCUACAACGGGUAUUGUCAGGCAACUGAAUUCUAAGUGGUGUAAAUGACAAAGACUAGAGUAAGACUAGAGUGGCUGGAAACAUAAG
This 1105-nucleotide long non-coding RNA is filed under the name Calidris pugnax (ruff). RNAcentral describes it as "lncRNA (ENSCPUG00000004377.1)". The record is from RNAcentral. Lineage: Eukaryota; Metazoa; Chordata; Aves; Charadriiformes; Scolopacidae.